RNAcentral lists this ribosomal RNA (253 nucleotides) under uncultured bacterium. RNAcentral's name for it is "partial 16S ribosomal RNA". It matches the Rfam family "Bacterial small subunit ribosomal RNA", at positions 524 to 776 of the family's 1533-position model. The record is from RNAcentral.
AACGUAGGUUCCGAGCGUUAUCCGGAUUUACUGGGCGUAAAGCGCGUGCAGGCGGCCGCGCAAGUCGGGCAUGAAAUCUCUCGGCUCAACCGGGAGAGGCUGUCCGAUACUGCGUGGCUUGAGGACGGAAGAGGCGGGUGGAAUUCCGCAUGUAGUGGUGAAAUGCGUAGAGAUGACAUAGAACACCUAUUGCGAAGGCAGCUAACUACGCGAAUAUUGACGCUGAGGCACGAAAGCGUGGGGAUCAAACAGG